CUGGGACGGCGGCUGUUCGAUCUUGCACCCGGCCCGAAACGCUUUGUGCCGUUCCCGCUCGGCACCCACAUCAACCUUGACGACACCGGCGCGGUGGACGUUGCGCACGCCUACAUGGCUGAAAGGGACUAGUCCUGAUGAUGCAGUCUUGGCUCAAACAAAAACGCGGGCCGUGAAGCCCGCGUUUUCAUAUUCAAAAUCGAUUGAAGCGCUUAGCGCGGUCCGCGCGGACCGGCACCUGCGCCGCCACGGCCACCG
This 258-nucleotide unclassified non-coding RNA is filed under the name Hevea brasiliensis (rubber tree). Lineage: Eukaryota; Viridiplantae; Streptophyta; Magnoliopsida; Malpighiales; Euphorbiaceae. The record is from RNAcentral.